CUUGAAAUACAAAAUUGUCACAAUAUUGGUGUUUCUACGUCUUCUUCUUUUACAUACAUAGACUCCAAUCUUUUAGUUAUUACCCCAUAAACCCAGACAUCUUACAUCCUUGCCAUAGUGUUAUCGCAUAGAAAGGUUGUUGGGUUGGACAUUUCUGUGCCGGUUAGCAAAUAUUCGAUAUGUGCAAGCGCGUACGACCUGUACGUGGAACCGGUUGAAUUUUUUGGAACGUACUUUUCCUUGUUUCGACCUUCAAAAUCCUAUUUUUCAUUCAACACUUACACUGGAAAAUGCUUC
Molecule: long non-coding RNA, 297 nt
Filed under: Capsicum annuum
Lineage: Eukaryota; Viridiplantae; Streptophyta; Magnoliopsida; Solanales; Solanaceae
Description: long non-coding RNA (CANN_LNC007095)
Source: RNAcentral